Mus musculus (house mouse) is the source of this 455-nucleotide long non-coding RNA. RefSeq annotates it as predicted gene, 42350. The record is from RefSeq and is a predicted model, not a curated record. Lineage: Eukaryota; Metazoa; Chordata; Mammalia; Rodentia; Muridae. The transcript has 3 exons.
UCCAAAGGUAGAGGUCCCAACUGGAAAAGGACGUCUGUGGAAAUGGAGUAUCAGCCGUGCAGGGGUGCCUCCUCCCCUUGACGUGUCUUUCAAAACCAGACGCGGGGGUCAUUCGUAAAGGUAUCUGCCACAAAGCUUGAUGAAGUGGAUCACAGCACCUCUCUGAUGCUUCCUCGGCUCCUGCAGAAAAUGACAGAUGUGUAUUGGAACUUCUCCACAAGUCCAGCAGGCCCAACAGCCUAUCUGACCGAGGACAGAGCUGACAGUCCAGCUUCAUCGAGUCUACACCUCCGAAGGUCCCAUGCCUCCUCCCACCUCGUCCUCCUCCCCGCCUACAUGGUCCUCAGAGAACGUCCAGCCUGAAUCCUAGGGAGGAAACUGAGACCAGAGAGGUCAAGUAUCUUGCCUGAAGCCACAUGACUUAUAGACCCAACUGGCAGGCUCCCCGGCCUCCC